RNAcentral lists this transfer RNA (84 nucleotides) under Lacticaseibacillus sharpeae JCM 1186 = DSM 20505. RNAcentral's name for it is "Lactobacillus sharpeae JCM 1186 = DSM 20505 tRNA". It matches the Rfam family "tRNA". From Rfam's summary of the family: Transfer RNA (tRNA) molecules are approximately 80 nucleotides in length. Their secondary structure includes four short double-helical elements and three loops (D, anti-codon, and T loops). Further hydrogen bonds mediate the characteristic L-shaped molecular structure. tRNAs have two regions of fundamental functional importance: the anti-codon, which is responsible for specific mRNA codon recognition, and the 3' end, to which the tRNAs corresponding amino acid is attached (by aminoacyl-tRNA synthetases). tRNAs cope with the degeneracy of the genetic code in two manners: having more than one tRNA (with a specific anti-codon) for a particular amino acid; and 'wobble' base-pairing, i.e. permitting non-standard base-pairing at the 3rd anti-codon position. Lineage: Bacteria; Bacillati; Bacillota; Bacilli; Lactobacillales; Lactobacillaceae. The record is from Rfam by way of RNAcentral.
GCCGGUGUGGCGGAAUAGGCAGACGCGCUGGAUUCAAAAUCCAGUUCUAGAGAUAGAGUAUCGGUUCGACCCCGAUCACCGGUA